UGUGAAGCUUUGAUGAGGGUGUACAGUAUGAGAUAUGUACAUUUAAUGUCGUCUUCACAAGGAGCAGUCUAUGCGUAAGUCUUUUGGACGACACAGGACAUUUGGUCCUGUGUAAUCAAUGAACACACAGGACCGAACCAAAUUUUGUCAGACCGAAAAACCUAAUGUAAAAAAGUGAAACACGUGAAAAUACAGAGUAGUAGACUAGCUUAACAGCUUUUCUUUAACAAGGGAUCACUCCUGCAUAAAACUGUAGAAAGACCAUGCGGUUUUAAUCACAUUCAUUUAUGAACAGUUCUUAUCAACAAACCCUGUAAGAAGAAGGACACCUGUUCUACAGCUUGUGGUGGAUCAUAGAACACAUGAUAUCAACCAAGUUUAAAGGAAGCAUGUAUAGCCACAAUAGAAAGAUUUAAGGAUUGUGAGAAACCAAAUAUGACAAAUCAAAGUAAAUUUCAUGGGAGUGUGAAAAAAAAAAGAAUAGUAGAGUGUAAUCCUCAGGACUUUCUUCAGACUUCCAUAAAGUCAGGAAAUACUGUUGAGCUGACAAAAUUAACAAAAAUCAUGAUUCUCAAAAAUUCAAGGAAGAUGUGAGAGUUAAGACUAAGAUGGAUUUUAGGAGUUUUGAUGACAAAGAAUCAACCAUUGGAAAUAUGGCUUUAAACUUGGAGCUCAUUAUUGAUGCAUACAUGAUGGUGGGCUGAAGAAGAAAACCAGGACAAAAGAAAAUUCCUAGUGUUCAUCAGAAAAAAUGAAUCAUGCAACCAUUUUGAGUGCUUGAAUGCUGAACUGAGAGACCGCCAGCCAGUGCGGAAAAUAUUUCUUGGAAGUUACACCAAAUCUGC
Saccostrea echinata is the source of this 845-nucleotide long non-coding RNA. RefSeq lists it as uncharacterized. NCBI's taxonomy places the organism in Eukaryota, Metazoa, Mollusca, Bivalvia, Ostreida, Ostreidae. The record is from RefSeq and is a predicted model, not a curated record. The transcript has 3 exons.